AGAGUAAAUUGAAUAGUCGCUGAUGAAAGUCGAAAGGCUUCAUGAGAGGAAAGUCCGGGCUCCAUAGAGCAAAGGUACUUGAUAACGUCAAGCGAGGGUAACCUUAGGGAAAGUGCAACAGAAAAUAACAACCUUUAUAGGUUCAGGUGAAAAGGUGGAGUAAAAGCCCACCAGCAGUAUGGUGACAUGCUGGCUGUGUAAACCCUAUCUGGAGCAACACCUUGUAGAGAAAGUUAAGGCUGCUCGCCGUUUUCUCGAUUUGCGUGGCUUGAAGUAUAUAGCAAUAUAUACUCUAGAUAAAUGACUAUUCACGACAGAACCCGGCUUACAGAUUUACUUUUAUA
Molecule: RNase P RNA, 344 nt
Filed under: Clostridia bacterium
Lineage: Bacteria; Bacillati; Bacillota; Clostridia
Description: RNase P RNA component class A
Rfam family: Bacterial RNase P class A
About the family: Ribonuclease P (RNase P) is a ubiquitous endoribonuclease, found in archaea, bacteria and eukarya as well as chloroplasts and mitochondria. Its best characterised activity is the generation of mature 5'-ends of tRNAs by cleaving the 5'-leader elements of precursor-tRNAs.
Source: RNAcentral